RNAcentral lists this ribosomal RNA (569 nucleotides) under uncultured Gammaproteobacteria bacterium. RNAcentral describes it as "bacterial SSU rRNA". It matches the Rfam family "Bacterial small subunit ribosomal RNA", at positions 812 to 1381 of the family's 1533-position model. The record is from RNAcentral. Lineage: Bacteria; Pseudomonadati; Pseudomonadota; Gammaproteobacteria.
UCGAUUUGGAGUUUGUUGCCUAGAGUGAUGGGCUCCGAAGCUAACGCGAUAAAUCGACCGCCUGGGGAGUACGGCCGCAAGGUUAAAACUCAAAUGAAUUGACGGGGGCCCGCACAAGCGGUGGAGCAUGUGGUUUAAUUCGAUGCAACGCGAAGAACCUUACCUGGUCUUGACAUCCACAGAAUCUUGCAGAGAUGCGAGAGUGCCUUCGGGAACUGUGAGACAGGUGCUGCAUGGCUGUCGUCAGCUCGUGUUGUGAAAUGUUGGGUUAAGUCCCGCAACGAGCGCAACCCUUAUCCUUUGUUGCCAGCGAUUUGGUCGGGAACUCAAAGGAGACUGCCGUUGAUAAAGCGGAGGAAGGUGGGGACGACGUCAAGUCAUCAUGGCCCUUACGACCAGGGCUACACACGUGCUACAAUGGCGUAUACAAAGGGAGGCGACCUCGCGAGAGCAAGCGGACCUCAUAAAGUACGUCUAAGUCCGGAUUGGAGUCUGCAACUCGACUCCAUGAAGUCGGAAUCGCUAGUAAUCGUGAAUCAGAAUGUCACGGUGAAUACGUUCCCGGGCCU